UCAGCUCGCGUUGAUUACGUCCCUGCCCUUUGUACACACCGCCCGUCGCUCCUACCGAUUGGGUGUGCUGGUGAAGCGUUCGGAUUGGCGUUAGUGGGCGGUCUUCCGCCUGCUCUCACUGAGAAGUUCGUUAAACCCUCCCACCUAGAGGAAGGAGAAGUCGUAACAAGGUUUCCGUAGGUGAACCUGCGGAAGGAUCAUUG
RNAcentral lists this ribosomal RNA (203 nucleotides) under Trebouxia sp. P-304-Ia. RNAcentral describes it as "partial 18S ribosomal RNA". It matches the Rfam family "Eukaryotic small subunit ribosomal RNA", at positions 1631 to 1831 of the family's 1831-position model. Lineage: Eukaryota; Viridiplantae; Chlorophyta; Trebouxiophyceae; Trebouxiales; Trebouxiaceae. The record is from RNAcentral.